Molecule: unclassified non-coding RNA, 253 nt
Filed under: uncultured Bacteriovoracaceae bacterium
Lineage: Bacteria; Pseudomonadati; Bdellovibrionota; Bacteriovoracia; Bacteriovoracales; Bacteriovoracaceae
Description: contains 16S-23S intergenic spacer region
Rfam family: Bacterial small subunit ribosomal RNA
Source: RNAcentral
UACAGAGGGUGCAAACGUUGUUCGGAUUUACUGGGCGUAAAGCGCGCGCAGGCGGAUUUGCAAGUCAGAUGUGAAAUCUCGGGGCUCAACCCCGAAACUGCGUCUGAAACUGCUAGUCUAGAGUCUCAUAGGGGGCAGGGGAAUUUCACGUGUAGGGGUAAAAUCCGUAGAGAUGUGAAGGAACACCCGUGGCGAAGGCGCCUGCCUGGAUGAGCACUGACGCUGAGGUGCGAAAGCGUGGGUAGCAAACAGG